AAGAAAUACUGUUGGUGAUACUUGUUUCUGUAUUUCUGGAGUGUUUUUUGUUCUUUCUUUUUCCUGAAAAAAAGAUAUUCGAGUGUCUUCAAUCUAAGAUAGUUUGACAAUCGGUGCAGAUACAAGGAAUGCUGAAGUGCACAAAAAUAAGUGUCUGCCAGUCCAUUGCAGGACGAAAGCUGCCUGGCAUUGCGUCACUGGACUGCAGAGAGGCAGGAAGAGCCAGGUUUGUCACCAGGAGCCCUUACGCAUACUCUGGAGUGGACACUGAAAAGUUUAAGUUACACAUAUGUAGUGCACAACUUAUGAAGAUGAGUCCUCCAGAUGAUGCAAGCCAAGUGAGUGGAGUCCAGCAAAAAGGACAUCCCUGAAGAAUUGUGUCACACUGUGUCUUGGUCUUAUUCCUGAUAGAAGAAACCGUAAUACUAUAAAAUACAAUUAACUUGCUUUUGUAUAUUCAGAGAUGAUACUCCCAGGAAGAAUGGUGAAGAAGCGGUAUCUUGUUUUAGCACUUGGACCUGAGAAAGCGUUACUUGUCCCAACACCUUAGUCACCCAGUGAGAUCUUACCAAACCUCUGGUUUUGCUUUACUCAAUUCCUGGACUCACUAUACAAAGGUUUUGAACGACAGCUUGAUUCAUUUCUUCAGGAAAGAGAUGUAUGUAAAGACACCCAGGAAUGACAAACUUGCAUUCUGUAAGAUCAGUCACUGAAAGACUGAGUGCAGAAAUGAUGGCUAGAAAAUUAAGGAGGGGAAUAAGGAAAGUUAAAGGAGUUGUGCAUGACAGGCAUUAACUUUUAAUCCACUGAGAAUGCUGAGUGUAUUUUUUGGAUCUGCAUUUCCUCAUCCAGGUAAUCAGGUAUAUAAUCCAGGUAAUAAACUUCACAAGUUAAUUUCUUGAAACACGGAAAGGUUUCCAAAAAGCAUUAUUAUCUGGAAAAGACAUUGUCUUUUUCAAAUUGCACAUUUGUGCUGCACUACAACUAGUCUGAGAGAGCUUGUCUGGUAAUCACAUAAUUUUCUGUUACAUUGGGAAAAUAAUCAUUAUUUUAGAGCCUUUUCUGUACCAGUUCUGUUUCUGCAGUGCAGGAAGAUAGUUAUUGGCUUUUUCCAAUGCACUGAUGGCAAAAUAGGCUUUUCAAGAACAUGAAAUUAAUAGCUUUCUCAUUUCUCCCUGCUUGAAUACUACUAUAGAUUAUUGAGGACCUCAGCAGCAAAAUUUUUCUGGAAAGAAAAGGCUACGCUAUACUUCAAAGGAAAAUGAAAUGCCUGAUUGUAAGUAAAUAAUGGCAACACAAACAUAGCUGUAAAUGUUACAGCUCUUUGCUUAGCCUUCUCAUCUCCCCAUGAAAGCUGUGUUUUUGUCUACAUUGUGACCUUCGAGUGGAAAAGGAUAGGAGUAUUAUUUAUUCCUGUUAAUAUCAGCUGGCAAUCACCUUCAGGACAGCAUUCAUUAAUUACUCUGUGUACUUGAAAGCAGCAAGUAUUUUCUCCAUACAGAGGAUCUAUACUGCAUGUUGUACCUUUUGGACCUCUUGGAUUUGUAGGGAAGUUGGUUUCCCUCAUGGUAUUUGAGAAGGCUGUAAGCCACAAGUACCAGUGAAUCAAGCAGCACAGUAAAGAAGGAAAAUAACGUAAUAUCAUAGAAUCAUAGAAUGGCUUGGGUUGGAAGGGACCUCAAAAAAUCUUUCAUUUAUGUUCAGAGGAACUAUUUAUCAGAUACCGACUAUCACCAUCAUGCAGAUGUAGUGUACAGAUGAGUAUCAUCAUCAUACAUGAGUGAGUGUCCCUGUCAUGCAUUCUGAGCAUGGAUUUACUCUGGGACCACAAGUCUGUAGCUUGUUUCCCCUCCUUUCUUCCUGCACCACUGCCUUGGGAAUAGCACUUGCUGUUCCCAUCAUGUGAGGCUUGCACUGUUCUCCUACCUCCUAAUACUGCUUGCAGCUGCAUGCAGCCUUUCAUGUCUACUUCAGCUUGGAGUUGUAGGUCUGCUGGAAAAUCCAGCCACGAGACACUUUAAGUAGCAGUUUGAUCUUUGUCAGUGAGAUUGACUCAAUUUAGACACAUACUGUUGAGAGGUCAAACCUGGACUGGAAUAUGUUUAGGGAUAUCAGAACAUUGUAAGGGGGAAAGACGGACAUUGUAACUAGCAAGUGUUUGAUUCCAGCAGAGAGUCUUGAAAAUGGGGAUGUUUAAUAGACCGUGAGGAAGUUAAAAGGAAGGAUUAAGACAACAGGUGGGGUCAAGUGCACUUUUCAUAUUUAUACAAUUUAUAGUGUAGUGCUGUAAUUAAAAAUGCUCCUUCACUCUCAUGGUUGGCCAUGGCAUCAGAGCUAUGCCUGGUGGACAGUGUUAGUCCUGGAAGGGCUUCUGUUACUUGUCCAGACCACAUGAAAGUUUUAAAAUUUGUGUAUGUGAUUAAACUUAAAAGACAGAGGGAAGAAAAUAACUGAAUCAUUAAGUAUCUUGAAUAAAUAACGAGGCCCCAUCUGGAGCACUCCAUCCAAGCCUGAGGCUCCCAGCACAAAAAGGAUGUGAAUCUCUUGAAAUGGGUCCAGAGGAGGGACACAAAGAUGAUCAGAAGGCUGGAGCACAUCUCCUAUGAGGAAAGGUGGAGGGAACUGGGCUUGUUUAGCUUGGAGAAGAGAAGACUCCGGGGAGACCUCACUGCAGCCUUCUGAUACUUAAAGGGAGAGCAUAAACAGGAGGGGGAAUCGCUGUUUAUGAGGGUGGAUAGUGGCAGGACAAGGGGGAAUGAUUUUAAACUGAGACUGGGGAGGUUUAGGUUGGAUAUUAGGAAGAAGUUUUUCACACAGAGGGUGGUGACACACUGGAACAGGUUGCCCAAGGAGGCUGUGGAUGCCCCAUCCCUGGAGGCAUUCAAGGCCAGGCUGGAUGUGGCUCUGGGCAGCCUGGUCUGGUGGAUGGCGACCCUGCACAUAGCAGGGGCGUUGAAGCUUGACGAUCAUUGUGGUUCUUUUCAACCCAGGCCAUUCUAUGAUUCUAUGAAAUAAAUUUAACCACUUUCUACUCUGAAGUAACAGGUAUUUGUGAUAGCUGUCUGGAAAGCAAAAUUUUCCAAAGAAAGUUUCAGUUAUUUUGCCAUAUUCAGAGCCUAUUUUUAAUGGGUAUUUUUAAACAAGUUACCUGAAAAACUUUGAUAACAUUUAUCAGAAACGUUUUGAUAUCCCAAAUGUGAAAGCUAUAAGCAACAUUUAAAAAUAAAAGGACAUUUUUUUCUGUAAAAAAUGUUUCUCUUGACUAUUUUUACAGUCUCUAGCAAACACUCAAGAGUUAUGUAACUCCAUUAAAUGCCUAGAAUAAUAUUUCC
This is a long non-coding RNA of Gallus gallus (chicken), 3332 nucleotides long. The record is from Ensembl. Lineage: Eukaryota; Metazoa; Chordata; Aves; Galliformes; Phasianidae.